Molecule: non-coding RNA, 621 nt
Organism: Zootermopsis nevadensis
Lineage: Eukaryota; Metazoa; Arthropoda; Insecta; Blattodea; Termopsidae
Source: RefSeq, a predicted model, not a curated record
UUAUACCAUGGUAGUACCCACUACCAAGAAGUCUGUCGGCAACACGUAACCACUAACCAACUACUCUAAACAUCACCCCCACCACCUGCAUUCACAACACAGAAACAGCCAGUUUUACAGAUUUGAAGAUUACUGUUUUGUGGGAUAUUGUCUUGAGGUACAGCAGAAACUAACCGACGUUUCAGAGUGAAAAUACAACAUCACCUCAAGCCUAAUGGCCCUGUGCUGUAUUUUUCAAAGAAGUGAUUGAAGACAUACAAUGUAAAGUUUUAAGCACCUGAGGCACAAACAUUUUGCAAAAGUUCUUUGUCAAGUGCACAGGAUAUAUCAGUAAAUGAGAAAUGACAGCAUGAUUACAAAGAGUGAACUGGGAUGAAUAUGAAAGGAAAUAGCAAGAAAACAAGUUCCAGAAGCAUGAAAGAAUGUGACAUCACACAUCUUGCCUAUUAUUUUGCACCAAGGUAAUGCAUAUAAUCAUUUUAUGCAUUUUAAAAAGAACCAAUGACUGUGUAGCAAUCAGACAAGACACAGAAAACUGGGACAGUUUUGUCUUCCUGUUGGAUUGAAGAAACUGAAAAGACAAAUGGAUUUUAUAAAUAAAACUUUAACAUACUAACACAG